This 26-nucleotide non-coding RNA is filed under the name Cricetulus griseus (Chinese hamster). The record is from RNAcentral. Lineage: Eukaryota; Metazoa; Chordata; Mammalia; Rodentia; Cricetidae.
CAACAGGGAUUGAAAAUGAUUUGGCU